This 262-nucleotide ribosomal RNA is filed under the name uncultured Staphylococcus sp. Its description in RNAcentral is "partial 16S ribosomal RNA". It matches the Rfam family "Bacterial small subunit ribosomal RNA", at positions 99 to 356 of the family's 1533-position model. The record is from RNAcentral. Lineage: Bacteria; Bacillati; Bacillota; Bacilli; Caryophanales; Staphylococcaceae.
CGGACGGGUGAGUAACACGUGGAUAACCUACCUAUAAGACUGGGAUAACUUCGGGAAACCGGAGCUAAUACCGGAUAAUAUAUUGAACCGCAUGGUUCAAUGUGAAAGACGGUUUUGCUGUCACUUAUAGAUGGAUCCGCGCCGCAUUAGCUAGUUGGUAAGGUAACGGCUUACCAAGGCAACGAUGCGUAGCCGACCUGAGAGGGUGAUCGGCCACACUGGAACUGAGACACGGUCCAGACUCCUACGGGAGGCAGCAGCG